RNAcentral lists this ribosomal RNA (263 nucleotides) under uncultured bacterium. Its description in RNAcentral is "partial 16S ribosomal RNA". It matches the Rfam family "Bacterial small subunit ribosomal RNA", at positions 793 to 1055 of the family's 1533-position model. The record is from RNAcentral.
GUCCACGCCCUAAACUAUGUCAACUAGUUGUCGGGAAAGCAAUUUCUUGGUAACGAAGCUAACGCGUGAAGUUGACCGCCUGGGGAGUACGGUCGCAAGAUUAAAACUCAAAGGAAUUGACGGGGGCCCGCACAAGCGGUGGAUGAUGUGGAUUAAUUCGAUGCAACGCGAAAACCUUACCUACCCUUGACAUGCCCGGGAGCCAGAUGAGAGUUUGGUGUGCUCGAAAGAGAGCCGGGACACAGGUGCUGCAUGGCUGUCGU